ACAGAGGUGGCAAGCGUUGUUCGGAAUUACUGGGCGUAAAGGGCGCGUAGGCGGCCUACUAAGUCAGACGUGAAAUCCCCCGGCUUAACCUGGGAACUGCGUCUGAUACUGGAAGGCUUGAGUAUGGGAGAGGGAUGUAGAAUUCCAGGUGUAGCGGUGAAAUGCGUGGAGAUCUGGAGGAAUACCGAUGGCGAAGGCAGCCAUCUGGCCUAACACUGACGCUGAGGUGCGAAAGCAUGGGGAGCAAACAGGA
RNAcentral lists this ribosomal RNA (253 nucleotides) under uncultured prokaryote. Its description in RNAcentral is "partial 16S ribosomal RNA". It matches the Rfam family "Bacterial small subunit ribosomal RNA", at positions 525 to 777 of the family's 1533-position model. The record is from RNAcentral.